AUGAAAAGGAGAGAGGGAGAGAGAUUGAGAAAGUCCAAGGAAACAGGCAAGACACAGAGGAGUCCGGAGACCAGCCCCCUGUUCCACGCCCCCGCCGCCACGCAUGAGUUCCCGCGCGCGCGCGCGCACACACACGGACUUAGAUUCUCCCCAUUUGAGCGGCUUUCCUCCAACUGUUUGGCUACCUGGCAGGAUGCUCUGGGGUAACUGAGACUGAAGAAGUCCCCUGUUUCAUCCACCACUGCAGCUGUGAGAGGGGGCUGGGGCCAUGGGCGGGAGGAUUUUUGGACCAUGAUUAGAGGCAGACACCCCAUCUUUACAAAAUUAAAUGGUAAGCCUCCUCUUCAUUUGCCACAAUUGUCUGUCUCUGUUGUUUGUUGAAUUCCAUUUACCCAACAGUUUUCCAUCUUUAUCUUUUCCCUGCAGUAAAUGCAAUGGAAGGCCGGGCGCAGUGGUUCACGCCUGUAAUCCCAGCAAUUUGGGGGGCUGAUGCGGGUGGAUCACGUGAGGUCAGGAGUUCGAGACCAGCCUUGCCAACAUGGUAAAACCCUGUCUCUACUAAAAAUACAAAAAUUAGCCGGGUGUGGUGACACAUGCCUGUAGUCCCAGCUACUUGGGAGGCUGAGGCAGGAGAAUUGCUUGAACCUGGGAGGCGGAGGUUGCAGUGAGCUGAGAUCGAGCCACUGCACUGCAGCUUGGGUGUCAGAGCGAGACUCUGUCUCAAACAGAACAAAACAAAACAACAACAAAAAAAUGCAGCUGAAAUAAGCUCUACACAGAGGCACCUUUGGGGUGCACAUAGAAACCCAAUCAACAUCUUUCCAAGAGAUUGGUAUUUUAAAAAGAAUAAUAAGCUAUUCUCACAGGCCGAAUGAAUGUUUGACAGCCUAAUCAGUGUGCCCUAAAGCUUUUAGACAGGGCUGAUGAAUUACAGUGUAACUUCACAGAUCAACCCUUAGAUGAGAAUUUUCCCUGUGGAGUUGGCCUGUCACCAAUGAAUUGCUCAAGAAAACCCAGCCCUACUGACCCUGGCCAUCUCCUGCAGGGAGAAAUAUUUGGUGGGGUUGAGGGAUAAGAAAGUCUUCCAUUGCAAUGAAGUUGGGGAAAGGGGCUUCAUUUGGGGACCCUUUGGUCUUUGAGACUCCCUGAAAAUUAUCUCCCGUGCCUCCUUCUUUGUUCCCACCACUUUAAGGGAGACCAUGCAGAAUGACAGAAUGAUUUAGCCUUUUGCAGUGGGCCCCCAUGGGACCCAGCAUGAUGAGAAGGCCCUAAAAACAAGACUGCCCUGGUGGAUCCCUCACCUGCCCCUACACAAGGCUGGCACUGAAGUUCUCUAGAACCUGGAGUUCAGAAGACUGGAAGCCCAAGGCUUGGAGGCCAAACAGCAAAGCUGCAUCUAAUCUCAGUCAGCUUCAGGGUCAACUGGACAGCGGGAAUCCUUUGAUUCUUUCAAUCUGGGCAUACUGACUAGGCCAUCAGGCCCACCUGGCUCAUGCUGGUCAUGCCAGUGCCUCAGCAGCUGGGAGCAUGUGCUUAGAGCCAUUAAGGGUGAGUGCAGCAGGCCGUGCUGUGGAAGGGGCUGGAACAGUUUUCCCUGUCGUUUAUGCUGAAGCCUUACCUAGGCGGUCUUUCAAGGGUGUCCACAGCCACCUGGGCAUUGUCUCCAUCCUUCUCCUCGAGGAUUAUGAAUCAGUGAUCUCUGAGUUUAUCCCCCAAUCAGGUCCCUUCUGAAAGUGAAGGAGGCCUCGUUAAUUAUGACCUUCGGUCAGUAAGCACACACGGAGACUGUCCCGGGCCAACUGAAUGUAUGUCACCCUAAUUAUAAAGGCUGGAAAAGGGAACAAAGGUGACUCAUUAAUGAGGCCUUAUAGUCUCCACCCAGUGGAGGACUGUCCCUGAGCCUCGUACAUUCCAAGGACAAUGAGCAUGCUUCUGUUAUGUAACAUUCCAGAUGCUGCCGCGUCCAGUGUACACAGCACUCCAGUUGCUGGUCUGGGAAUGCCCUUAACAUAAGGAAAGCCUUGGCACCAGCCAGAGAAGAUCAUGCUUUUCUAAGUCAAGGUUAUAAUUAUGCAUUUCGAAAGCCUCCUUCCUGUAAUUGUUCUGAUGUUCAUGGCAGGCCUGCAUGCAGGUGGUGCACCUAGAAGCUGCUGUCUAUCACCAUCGCCUCUUGACAGCAUUCCUCUCUGAUUAUGCAGGGAGCACAGGCUUUGACUGGCAAAUUGAUCCCAAGAGGCUUAGCAUGGGAAAGAAAUAGCUAGUACUUUCCAGAAACCAUCCCACCAUCUUCAACAGGAUGAAGGAAGCCCUGGCUUUGCUGACUUCCCAAGAAGGGUUCCAAGAGCUUGCUUAACAUCUCGGAAAACAAACCUCUGCAUGCACUGAUGAAGGAAGCAAAAUACAGCCUGUACAGGCCGGGCGCGGUGGCUCACGCCUGUAAUCCCAGUACUUUGGGAGGCCGAGACAGGUGGGUUGCCUGAGCUCAGGAGUUCGAGACCAGCCUGGGCAACAUGGUGAAACCCCAUCUCUACUAAAAAUACAAAAAAAUAGCCAGCUGUGGGCAUGUGCCUGUAAUCCCAGCUACUCGGGAGACGGAGACACGAGAACUGCUUGCAUCUAGGGGGGCAGAGGUUGCAGUGAGCUGAGAUUGCGCCACUACACUCCAGCCUGGGAAACAGAGUGAGACUCCGUCCCGCCCCCCCGCAAGAAAAAAAUACAGCCUGGACGAUCACUAGGCUACCUGUCCUGAGGGAUUAUGGGCAAAUUCCAGACUCUGUCCUACUCUGGAAGGAAUACCUUUCAGGAGUUGGAAGGAUGCCUUUCAAAUCACGCCUGGUCCUCAUUGCAUUAAAUUAAACAAAGUUAGGUGGAGGAGCACCGUCAAGGAGCUGGUAUCCCUGUGCAAGAGCAGACGUGGCUGUUGUCAAGGAGGUAAUAAGCUCUCUGGCAGGAUGAGAAGCAAUAUUUAUUUUAUCCACCCACAGGAUAAAAGAGUAUGUAUUUAAUGAAAUAAUUUAUGCUGAGUGAAUGCGAAUUAUCUUCUCUAACUGCAGGCAAUUAAUAUCUUCACUGAUAAGGAUAGGACCCCAGGCUGGCUUGCCUCAAACGGACCUUUAGCUCCAGCAGUUCAUCCUUCUAUUAUGUACAUAAUCCCUGGAUUACAUAAACCCACCUGCACUUACACCCACCAGCUCCACCCACCCUUGCCAAAGCUGUCACUAUGAGAAGAAUUAAAACCUUUGCAGAUACAUUCUGAUCCAAUGCCAGAAAAAAGGCAGCAGCUUGGAACGUCAGGAACAACUUCGGGAAUCUGACCUUCGGGACAUUCCCCAGGCUGCCCUGACCCUCGUCUGGAUAUGCCCUGACUAAAAAUACUUUCCUGUAUUGCACUGAAAACAUUUUCACCUCAUUUGUUAUACUGCCUGAGAUCCCAUCAGCUGGAGAUUAGACUGACAAGCAUCUUCUUAAAACUGUGAAUCAUGGCCAGAUGCCUGUAAUCCCAGCACUUUGGGAGGCCGAGGUGGGCAGAUCCCUUGAGCUCGGGAAUUCAAGACCAGCCAGGGCAACAUAGUGAGACAUCCUAUCUUUAGAAAUAAAAAAUAGGCCGGGCACGGUGGCUCA
This is a long non-coding RNA of Piliocolobus tephrosceles (Ugandan red Colobus), 3621 nucleotides long. The record is from Ensembl. NCBI's taxonomy places the organism in Eukaryota, Metazoa, Chordata, Mammalia, Primates, Cercopithecidae.